UACAUGUGGGGCAAGCGUUGUUCGGAAUUACUGGGCAUAAAGGGUGCGUAGGCGGACUGAUAAGUCAGUGGUGAAAGCCUGUUGCUUAACAACAGAACUGCCAUUGAUACUGCCAGUCUUGAGUACAGUUGAGGUAGGCGGAAUGUGUCAUGUAGUGGUGAAAUACUUAGAUAUGACACAGAACACCGAUUGCGAAGGCAGCUUGCUAAACUGUAACUGACGCUGAGGCACGAAAGCAUGGGGAGCAAACAGG
Molecule: ribosomal RNA, 253 nt
Filed under: uncultured bacterium
Lineage: Bacteria
Description: partial 16S ribosomal RNA
Rfam family: Bacterial small subunit ribosomal RNA
Source: RNAcentral